RNAcentral lists this ribosomal RNA (527 nucleotides) under uncultured bacterium. RNAcentral's name for it is "bacterial SSU rRNA". It matches the Rfam family "Bacterial small subunit ribosomal RNA", at positions 501 to 1028 of the family's 1533-position model. The record is from RNAcentral.
CUACGUGCCAGCAGCCGCGGUAAUACGUAGGUGGCAAGCGUUGUCCGGAAUUAUUGGGCGUAAAGCGCGCGCAGGCGGAUCAGUCAGUCUGUCUUAAAAGUUCGGGGCUUAACCCCGUGAUGGGAUGGAAACUGCUGAUCUAGAGUAUCGGAGAGGAAAGUGGAAUUCCUAGUGUAGCGGUGAAAUGCGUAGAUAUUAGGAAGAACACCAGUGGCGAAGGCGACUUUCUGGACGAAAACUGACGCUGAGGCGCGAAAGCCAGGGGAGCGAACAGGAUUAGAUACCCUGGUAGUCCACGCCGUAAACGAUGAGUGCUAGGUGUUAGACCCUUUCCGGGGUUUAGUGCCGCAGCUAACGCAUUAAGCACUCCGCCUGGGGAGUACGACCGCAAGGUUGAAACUCAAAGGAAUUGACGGGGGCCCGCACAAGCGGUGGAGCAUGUGGUUUAAUUCGAAGCAACGCGAAGAACCUUACCAGGUCUUGACAUCCCUCUGACCGCUCUAGAGAUAGAGUUUUCCUUCGGGACA